GUGCCAGCAGCCGCGGUAAUACGUAGGGGGCGAGCGUUGUCCGGAAUUACUGGGCGUAAAGGGUGCGUAGGCGGCUUGUUAAGUUGGAUGUGAAAUACCCGGGCUUAACCUGGGGGGUGCAUUCGAUACUGGCAGGCUAGAGUGCAGGAGAGGGAAGCGGAAUUCCUAGUGUAGCGGUGAAAUGCGUAGAUAUUAGGAGGAACACCAGUGGCGAAGGCGGCUUUCUGGACUGUAACUGACGCUGAUGCAC
Molecule: ribosomal RNA, 250 nt
Filed under: uncultured bacterium
Lineage: Bacteria
Description: partial 16S ribosomal RNA
Rfam family: Bacterial small subunit ribosomal RNA
Source: RNAcentral